Molecule: ribosomal RNA, 472 nt
Filed under: uncultured bacterium
Lineage: Bacteria
Description: bacterial SSU rRNA
Rfam family: Bacterial small subunit ribosomal RNA
Source: RNAcentral
UGGGGAAUUUUGGACAAUGGGGGCAACCCUGAUCCAGCCAUGCCGCGUGAGUGAAGAAGGCCUUCGGGUUGUAAAGCUCUUUCGGCGGGGACGAAACGGUCCGUGACAACACCACGGACUAAUGACAGUACUCGCAGAAGAAGCACCGGCUAACUACGUGCCAGCAGCCGCGGUAAUACGUAGGGUGCGAGCGUUAAUCGGAAUUACUGGGCGUAAAGCGUGCGCAGGCGGCGACAUAAGACAGAUGUGAAAUCCCCGGGCUCAACCUGGGAACUGCGUUUGUGACUGUGUUGCUAGAGUGUAGCAGAGGGGGGUGGAAUUCCACGUGUAGCAGUGAAAUGCGUAGAGAUGUGGAGGAACACCGAUGGCGAAGGCAGCCCCCUGGGUUAACACUGACGCUCAUGCACGAAAGCGUGGGGAGCAAACAGGAUUAGAUACCCUAGUAGUCCCUGAGCGGGCUGGCAAGGCGCAU